This 78-nucleotide transfer RNA is filed under the name Candidatus Thorarchaeota archaeon. Its description in RNAcentral is "tRNA-Thr". It matches the Rfam family "tRNA". From Rfam's summary of the family: Transfer RNA (tRNA) molecules are approximately 80 nucleotides in length. Their secondary structure includes four short double-helical elements and three loops (D, anti-codon, and T loops). Lineage: Archaea; Promethearchaeati; Candidatus Thorarchaeota. The record is from RNAcentral.
GCCCCAGUAGCUUAGCCCGGUCAGAUCACCUCCUUGGUAAGGAGGAGGCCGCGGGUUCAAAUCCCGCCUGGGGCUCCA